This 232-nucleotide ribosomal RNA is filed under the name uncultured bacterium. RNAcentral's name for it is "partial 16S ribosomal RNA". It matches the Rfam family "Bacterial small subunit ribosomal RNA", at positions 99 to 334 of the family's 1533-position model. The record is from RNAcentral.
CGGACGGGUGAGUAAUGUCUGGGAAACUGCCCGAUGGAGGGGGAUAACUACUGGAAACGGUAGCUAAUACCGCAUAACGUCGCAAGACCAACGAGGGGGACCUUAGGGCCUCUUGCCAUCGGAUGUGCCCAGAUGGGAUUAGCUAGUAGGUGGGGUAACGGCUCACCUAGGCGACGAUCCCUAGCUGGUCUGAGAGGAUGACCAGCCACACUGGAACUGAGACACGGUCCAG